This 890-nucleotide ribosomal RNA is filed under the name uncultured Bacillota bacterium. Its description in RNAcentral is "bacterial SSU rRNA". It matches the Rfam family "Bacterial small subunit ribosomal RNA", at positions 8 to 920 of the family's 1533-position model. Lineage: Bacteria; Bacillati; Bacillota. The record is from RNAcentral.
AGAGUUUGAUCCUGGCUCAGGACGAACGCUGGCGGCGUGCCUAACACAUGCAAGUCGAGGGGGAUUUGGGGAGCUUGCUUUCUGAAUCCUAGCGGCGGACGGGUGAGUAACGCGUGAGAACCUGCCUCAAACAGGGGGAUAACGCAUCGAAAGAUGUGCUAAUACCGCGUAAGACCAAGCACCGCAUGGUGCAGGGGUCAAAGGAGCAAUCCGGUUUGAGAUGGGCUCGCGUCCGAUAGCUAGUUGGUGAGAUAACAGCCCACCAAGGCAACGAUCGGUAGCCGACCUGAGAGGGGAUCGGCCACAUUGGAACUGAGAAACGGUCCAGACUCCUACGGGAGGCAGCAGUGGGGAUAUUGGGCAAUGGGCGAAAGCCUGACCCAGCAACGCCGCGUGAGGGAAGAAGGGUUUCGCUCGUAAACCUCUGUCCUAUGGGACGAAGAAGUGACGGUACCAUAGGAGGAAGCCCCGGUAACUACGUGCCAGCAGCCGCGGUAAUACGUAGGGGGCAAGCGUUGUCCGGAAUGAUUGGCGUAAAGGGCGCGUAGGCGGCCCGUUAAGUCUGGAGUGAAAGUCCCGCUUUCAAGGUGGAAUUGCUUUGGAUACUGAUGGGCUCGAGUGCAGGAGAGGAAAGCGGAAUUACCGGUGUGCGGUGAAAUGCGUAGAGAUCGGUAGGAACACCAGUGGCGAAGGCGGCUUUCUGGACUGAAAUGACGCUGAGGCGCGAAAGCGUGGGGAGCAAACAGGAUUAGAUACCCUGGUAGUCCCGCGGUAAACGAUGAGUGCUAGGUGUAGGAGGUAUCGACCCCUUCUGUGCCGCAGUAAAACAAUAAGCACUCCGCCUGGGGAGUACGGCCGCAAGGUUGAAACUCAAAGGAAUUGACGGGGCC